GCUUGUCUCAAAGAUUAAGCCAUGCAUGUCUAAGUAUAAACGACUUUAUACUGUGAAACUGCGAAUGGCUCAUUAUAUCAGUUAUAGUUUAUUUGAUGGUCCUUGCUACUUGGAUAACCGUAGUAAUUCUAGAGCUAAUACAUGCAUUAAACCCCGACUUCUGGAAGGGGUGUAUUUAUUAGAUGGAAACCAAUGCGGGGUAACCCGGAAUAUGGUGAUUCAUAAUAACUUUCGGAUCGAUUUAUCGAUGCAUCAUUCAAGUUUCUGCCCUAUCAGCUUUGGAUGGUAGGGUAUUGGCCUACCAUGGCUUUUACGGGUAACGGAGGAUUAGGGUUCGAUUCCGGAGAGGGAGCCUGAGAAACGGCUACCACAUCUAAGGAAGGCAGCAGG
RNAcentral lists this ribosomal RNA (390 nucleotides) under uncultured Chrysophyceae. Its description in RNAcentral is "partial small subunit ribosomal RNA". It matches the Rfam family "Eukaryotic small subunit ribosomal RNA", at positions 30 to 432 of the family's 1831-position model. Lineage: Eukaryota; Chrysophyceae. The record is from RNAcentral.